GACGAACGCUGGCGGCGUGCUUAACACAUGCAAGUCGAACGGAAAGGCCCUGCUUUUGUGGGGUGCUCGAGUGGCGAACGGGUGAGUAACACGUGAGUAACCUGCCCUUGACUUUGGGAUAACUUCAGGAAACUGGGGCUACUACCGGAUAGGAGCUCAUGCUGCAUGGUGGGGGUUGGAAAGUUUCGGCGGUUGGGGAUGGACUCGCGGCUGAUCAGCUUGUUGGUGGGGUAGUGGCAUACCAAGGCUUUGAAGGGUAGCCGGCCUGAGAGGGUGACCGGCGACAUUGGGACUGAGAUACGGCCCAGACUCCUACGGGAGGCAGCAGUGGGGAAUAUGGCACAAUGGGCGGAAGCCUGAUGCAGCAACGCCGCGUGCGGGAUGACGGCCUUCGGGUUGUAAACCGCUUUCGCCUGUGACGAAGCGUGAGUGACGGUAAUGGGUAAAGAAGCACCGGCUAACUACGUG
This 468-nucleotide ribosomal RNA is filed under the name uncultured bacterium. RNAcentral describes it as "partial 16S ribosomal RNA". It matches the Rfam family "Bacterial small subunit ribosomal RNA", at positions 28 to 507 of the family's 1533-position model. The record is from RNAcentral.